UGGCUUUAAAGCCAAUGUGUGUUUGGUAUCAUGGAAGAUGAGGGCUCCUGCAUGUCCUGUAUCUAUGGCUACUCCAACCAGAGACAGUGGUGAAUCAGAGAAGCUUCUUCAACAAGGACUGGGAGAGCUAUCUCUUGGCAAAAAAGUCUCUAAAAGUAAUGUUGGUUCCUGGAUGGACUCUGUAGAGAGACUAGAGCUCAUGUCAGAGUAUCAUCCCUCACUACCUCCUACCCCCCACCACCAUAUCAUCCGACCCCCCAGACUCCGAGUAGUGGGGGGGUCAGUGAUGAGACCACACCCCCUUCAUCAUCAUCUGGGACACAAGAAAACACUAACUCACAACACAAUUCAUUCACCAGUUGUCAAUAUUGUAUUAACAUGUAGUUUGGUUGCAAAUGUUGUUUUGCUUUUCUUACUGUUCUAUUUCGUAUAUCAAAAUUAACAAAUUUAUAGUGCACAACGACACAAUAACUGAUGGUGACAA
Halichondria panicea is the source of this 484-nucleotide long non-coding RNA. RefSeq lists it as uncharacterized. The record is from RefSeq and is a predicted model, not a curated record. The transcript has 2 exons. NCBI's taxonomy places the organism in Eukaryota, Metazoa, Porifera, Demospongiae, Suberitida, Halichondriidae.